Long non-coding RNA from Osmia lignaria (orchard mason bee), 2549 nucleotides. RefSeq lists it as uncharacterized. The record is from RefSeq and is a predicted model, not a curated record. NCBI's taxonomy places the organism in Eukaryota, Metazoa, Arthropoda, Insecta, Hymenoptera, Megachilidae.
GCAGAAAAAGUAGACCAGUGUUCCAACGUCAAACUAAAUCAUAAUAUCCAUUCAACCCACCUAUCUGUUAAAGACCAUUUAAAAAGUUCUAAAGGAAAGUGGGGGCCGGGUUCUCGCACACCGUACUUUCGAUUAAUUCACGUAUAACGAACGUUAUAAGCCAUAAGUUAUAAUCCGAGAGACAGAUUCCGGGGCCUUCUGGUCUGAUUCUAAGCCGAAGCUUGCUUCUCCCAGCGGGUGGUUUAGGAGUACGGCCAGACCGCACGCGGCGAAGUGAACCGAGUUUACAAUAAGGAGUCUACGUCUACCACCUCUUUCCUUUUCCACUUUGUCCCUCGCUUCUUCCUUGAACCGUCACACACCGUUUCGCUUUUCUUCUCGAUAACUCGUCCAUCCGUAACACGAAACUCUGCUAUCUGAAGAUAGUUAACCGGGAGCGUACACAACUAUACCCCUAUAAUUUAAUAGGGGUUUCAUCUUGGAUCGAUAACGCACUUCGUCGAGCAUUAUUCGGAAAACUUCUAAAGAAGAAAACUUUUUGUUGAAGUUUUUAAAAGGCUUCUGAACAUUAAUUAAGUAUGUCUUGAUUAACUCUCAAGAGUUUGAAAGGUUGUAUCAUCCAUCCGUGAUUUUUAUCUGUUUUAUUAAACGAUAACUGUCAUUUGAAAAUCGAUCAUUCCGUAGUUUAUGUUGUAUAGAACGAUGAAACGUUUAUUAAGUAAAAAAAGGAAAUGGAAAAUCGCAAUAAAUUUUCGGUUUCAUAAAACGAGCAUAGAAGGGGAAACGCAAUAUAUUGGAAAUUACUCUUUUUCGUCCGCUUGAAGGUGAUCCACCUCGUCGAUUCAAUUAAUUAAAUUUUAUAUUUUAGUUAUUUCCUGUUUUAUACAGAAAUUCCUUCCUCGAGCAUAUUAUUUUUCACAGGGCAAUAACUCGCGGUUUCUUUAUUAAAACUUAUAAAUAAAAUAUUCUUGACGCUCCGAGAAGAGGUAGAAAUAAUUUGACGUCGCAUCGAUCAGGUAAUUUUCGAGCGUAAGAAGGUUCUUGGACUGUUGCCCAGUCCUAACAAACCCCGUAUGCUUCCUUGUACUCCUCUUCAAGGAUUCUUGUCUCAUUCUUUUCCGAGGAACGACAAAACCCUAACAGAAUCACGUAGGCGAGUCGAGGAUCGCCCACGUGGUUCACGAAAUUCUGCAAGUCCAUCGUAUUCUUUUUUUCUUUUUCCUGAGAUUUACACUCCUGACAAACAACGAUGAACUCGUUAUCCCACGAAUUUCGUGUUACUCGCACGUUGGAUUACAAUCGUGUUUAUGUCUGGUCGCAAUUAACUUACGUGCGAUGAAAAUGUUGGAAUUCAGCUGAACAAAAUCCUUGGAUAACUAUCAAAUUCCCCCGGUAAUUUCUUCUUUUUCUAAAGAAAUAGUUUCUAAAGAAUAGUAUCAUCGAAAAUCUCCUUCCUUUAUCACCGCGAAAUCCCAGUAGUAACGUCUUUUCCCAGAACACCAACAUUGUUCCUCGUUCCUUGAAUAUCCGUGCAACGCGCUCUUUUAAUCCGGGAUUUCUUUCGAACGCUUCCAUGAGCCCAAUUAGACUCAUUCGGUCCGAGUUGAAAACGCGGUCUGCCGGUUAUUCUUCGUUUAACUCGAACACGAUGCUUUUGCUUCCCCGAACAGGGGUUGCUUGUGACGAGCCCGCGAUAAAAGUGCUCGCCGUUACGGCGAUAGUCACGAGCUGAAGAAACGAGCCGUCCACGGAUGGGAGGCUUGAAUGAUACAAGGUGUGAAGUUACACGUCGACGAGGAGGGACGAGUUCACGAAGAGGGAAGGUGGAGAGACUAUUUAUGUGUCUGAGUCGGCUUUGGUCUCGGGUUCUCGAGCAGGAUGGACGAGUGGAUAGGUAGAUACGUUUAUUAAGUGGAAAGAGAAAGACGGAUAACAGUGGAUUGUGGAAGAUGGAGAGAAAGGGUAGAAUCAAGCGAUCCCGAUCAUUAGUCGCUCGUCGUUCACACAGAGCGCUUCGGCAGGUAGUAUUCAGCACUCAAAGGGUUAAUUUAAGAUCGUGUAUGAUCGAGGAUAAUGUUUACAAGAGAGAUACAAUGUGAAACGCAUGCGUGGUGAGCUUGUUGUUGCUGGACAAAUCGCUUUGAAGCUAAUUAACUGGGAUGAUAUAGCUGUGCAACGUGUUUAAUGACAAUAGAGCACCUAUGUGUACCAUGAAUUACCGAGAUUGAAAGCGUCGGGAAAUUGACGCUAAUGACGAAUUAUUAAGGAAAUGUGAUUGUUACGGUUUAAUUAAUAUUUGGAAAGCGAAUCUUCCGCUCGUUAAAAGGCGCCCUUUUAACGUCGAUGUUUUAUUCAUAUUACAAUUCAUGAUUAUUUAAUCAAUUUUAAAUACCCAUCUCAUGAUAAUAUCAAACGAUGUAACCAUGUAUUAUAUUGUAAUUAUUAAUGACUAUGCUGAAUAAAUAAUUUAAGAGAAAAAAAAAAGAAAAAAGGAGAAACUGUCUGUCGUUUAUUUGUACGAUCCCUGUCUAAUUUCAGUCAUCGAAGGG